RNAcentral lists this ribosomal RNA (253 nucleotides) under uncultured bacterium. RNAcentral's name for it is "partial 16S ribosomal RNA". It matches the Rfam family "Bacterial small subunit ribosomal RNA", at positions 524 to 776 of the family's 1533-position model. The record is from RNAcentral.
UACAGAGGGGGCAAGCGUUGUUCGGAAUUACUGGGCGUAAAGGGCGCGUAGGCGGCCCGCUAAGUCGAACGUGAAAUCCCCGGGCUCAACCUGGGAACUGCAUUUGUGACUGCACAGCUUGAGUGCGGCAGAGGGGGAUGGAAUUCCGCGUGUAGCAGUGAAAUGCGUAGAUAUGCGGAGGAACACCGAUGGCGAAGGCAAUCCCCUGGGCCUGCACUGACGCUCAUGCACGAAAGCGUGGGGAGCAAACAGG